Molecule: ribosomal RNA, 465 nt
Filed under: uncultured bacterium
Lineage: Bacteria
Description: partial 16S ribosomal RNA
Rfam family: Bacterial small subunit ribosomal RNA
Source: RNAcentral
CCUACGGGAGGCAGCAGUAGGGAAUCUUCCACAAUGGACGAAAGUCUGAUGGAGCAACGCCGCGUGAGUGAAGAAGGGUUUCGGCUCGUAAAGCUCUGUUGGUAGUGAAGAAAGAUAGAGGUAGUAACUGGCCUUUAUUUGACGGUAAUUACUUAGAAAGUCACGGCUAACUACGUGCCAGCAGCCGCGGUAAUACGUAGGUGGCAAGCGUUGUCCGGAUUUAUUGGGCGUAAAGCGAGUGCAAGCGGUUCAAUAAGUCUGAUGUGAAAGCCUUCGGCUCAACCGGAGAAUUGCAUCAGAAACUGUUGAACUGGAGUGCAGAAGAGGAGAGUGGAACUCCAUGUGUAGCGGUGGAAUGCGUAGAUAUAUGGAAGAACACCAGUGGCGAAGGCGGCUCUCUGGUCUGCAACUGACGCUGAGGCUCGAAAGCAUGGGUAGCGAACAGGAUUAGAUACCCCUGUAGUC